UGCUUGAGGGGGUCAUUUGGGGAUUGGCCCUGCUUUGAGCAGGGGGUUGGACUAGAUGAUCCCUUGAGAUCCCUUCCCACCCUAAUAAUCUAUGAAUCUAUGUAGAGAAAAC
Non-coding RNA from Chelonoidis abingdonii (Abingdon island giant tortoise), 112 nucleotides. Lineage: Eukaryota; Metazoa; Chordata; Testudines; Testudinidae. The record is from RefSeq and is a predicted model, not a curated record.